GGUGGCUCAGUGGUAGAGCGCUUGCCUCGCAUGCCUGAGGUCCUGGGUUCGAUUCCUCAGCACCA
This 65-nucleotide transfer RNA is filed under the name Dipodomys ordii (Ord's kangaroo rat). It matches the Rfam family "tRNA". From Rfam's summary of the family: Transfer RNA (tRNA) molecules are approximately 80 nucleotides in length. Their secondary structure includes four short double-helical elements and three loops (D, anti-codon, and T loops). Further hydrogen bonds mediate the characteristic L-shaped molecular structure. tRNAs have two regions of fundamental functional importance: the anti-codon, which is responsible for specific mRNA codon recognition, and the 3' end, to which the tRNAs corresponding amino acid is attached (by aminoacyl-tRNA synthetases). tRNAs cope with the degeneracy of the genetic code in two manners: having more than one tRNA (with a specific anti-codon) for a particular amino acid; and 'wobble' base-pairing, i.e. permitting non-standard base-pairing at the 3rd anti-codon position. The record is from Rfam by way of RNAcentral. Lineage: Eukaryota; Metazoa; Chordata; Mammalia; Rodentia; Heteromyidae.